UAGAGUAAUAUUGGCUUUUAAAUGUACAUU
RNAcentral lists this non-coding RNA (30 nucleotides) under Mus musculus (house mouse). The record is from RNAcentral. Lineage: Eukaryota; Metazoa; Chordata; Mammalia; Rodentia; Muridae.